UUUAAUUUUAACUAGAAACAAAGUCAUGGUAUUUUUUGGUAGCCGAGACUAGGAUUCGGCCCAAUAUCAACUUGAUGGAUUGCUUUUUCAACGAGUCAGUUCAAGAUAGGAUUAGUCAGACUUGUAUGUGAUGUCGGAUGGUUGUGUUGGUAUGGCCCUUGCAAAGCAAUUUGAAGAUUGUUCUCUCCAAUCCGAUGUCGACUUAGAUGUACUUAGUAAAAAAAGAAAAAGUAAGGAAUACAUACAGCCAGAAACUAAGAACUUGUGGGUAAUGGUAGUGAAAGGAUUAACAAUUGUGUAGCCAUUAACUAAUUCAGAGAGAAAGAGUUUCUAAACUAAUGUUGCAGCAUGUCGCUCAAGACUAAAGGCUUAUCUUGCGGAAGGAAGAUGCUUUGUUUAGGUAGAUGCGGUUACUAAGAAAAACAUGUAACUUAGUUAAGCUAGAUUAAGGGUUUGAGGUAUAUUAUUUUUCACCUUAAUUCAAAGAUUGUGAUGUGUCAAGUCAUGAAUGUGGGAACAUGCCGUUCUUUUCUUAUAGGUACAGUUGGCAACAAGUCCAUUGCUUUUUUUUUUUUUUUUUUUUAUUGCUCUUAUUAAAUCGUGUUAUAUGAAUUGUUAAAAUCUCGUAUAUGUUCGAAUUUGUUACCGACAAGAAGUAUGCAAUAGAAUUCGACUUUGGCUUUUGUAUUAAGGAUCAUCACACACAGAUUUUUUGAUGUCUUUAUGAUUAGAUCAAACAGCGUGCGAAAGAGGAGGAACUAAGCACCGACUCCGAUGAUAAAAAGAGCACCGGAUCUGAGACGAUGGCAAACAAAUCUCCGAUAUCCAGUCUAAAAAUAAAGCGUGCGAAGGAGGAGGAACUGAGCACCGACUCCGGAUCUGAGAUUCUCACCAUAGAGUAUGAGAAACUGAGCCUAACCAGCUCAAUCAAGAGUGAAUCUGACAAGGUAGGUGGUACGUCUGCGACUAUUAGUAAGUCUGCGACUUUGAAUGAAAUUAUUCGGUUUUUUAUGUUUUUUAUUUUGGGAAUAAGACUAUAAUUUAACCAAAUAAAAAUUCUUUGGUUAUUUUGGCUAUGGAGACCAAAGGUAUGCGCUCUUUUAGCCUCA
Long non-coding RNA from Arabidopsis lyrata subsp. lyrata, 1109 nucleotides. RefSeq lists it as uncharacterized. The transcript is spliced from 2 exons. The record is from RefSeq and is a predicted model, not a curated record. Lineage: Eukaryota; Viridiplantae; Streptophyta; Magnoliopsida; Brassicales; Brassicaceae.